UCUCGUAGCUUGCUAUGAGAACAAUUAGUGGCAGACGGGUGAGUAAUGCAUAGGAAUCUACCUAGUAGUAUGGGAUAGCCACUAGAAAUGGUGGGUAAUACUGUAUAAUCCCUGCGGGGGAAAGAUUUAUCGCUAUUAGAUGAGCCUAUGUUAGAUUAGCUAGUUGGUAGGGUAAAGGCCUACCAAGGCAGUGAUCUAUAGCUGGUCUGAGAGGAUGAUCAGCCACACUGGAACUGAGAUACGGUCCAGACUCCUACGGGAGGCAGCAGUGGGGAAUAUUGGACAAUGGGCGCAAGCCUGAUCCAGCUAUGCCGCGUGAGUGAGGAAGGCCUUAGGGUUGUAAAACUCUUUCAGUGGGGAAGAUAAUGACGGUACCCACAGAAGAAGUCCCGGCAAACUCCGUGCCAGCAGCCGCGGUAAUACGGAGGGGGCAAGCGUUGUUCGGAAUUAUUGGGCGUAAAGGGCAUGUAGGCGGUUCGGUAAGUUAAAGGUGAAAUGCCAGGGCUUAACCCUGGAGCUGCUUUUAAUACUGCCAGACUGGAGUCCGGGAGA
RNAcentral lists this ribosomal RNA (552 nucleotides) under Anaplasma platys. RNAcentral describes it as "bacterial SSU rRNA". It matches the Rfam family "Bacterial small subunit ribosomal RNA", at positions 71 to 655 of the family's 1533-position model. Lineage: Bacteria; Pseudomonadati; Pseudomonadota; Alphaproteobacteria; Rickettsiales; Anaplasmataceae. The record is from RNAcentral.